This 429-nucleotide ribosomal RNA is filed under the name uncultured bacterium. RNAcentral describes it as "bacterial SSU rRNA". It matches the Rfam family "Bacterial small subunit ribosomal RNA", at positions 33 to 495 of the family's 1533-position model. The record is from RNAcentral.
ACGCUGGCGGUAUGCCUAACACAUGCAAGUCGUACGAGAGUUUUUAACUCUAGUGGCGGACGGGUGAGUAACACGUGAGAAUUUGCCUUUAGGAGGGGGAUAACAAUUGGAAACGAAUGCUAAUACCCCAUAUGCUUUUGAGUGAAAUGGAUUUAUAUUUAUCCGCCUAGAGAGAAGCUCGCGGCUGAUUAGCUUGUUGGUAAGGUAAGAGCUUACCAAGGCGACGAUCAGUAUCUGGUUUGAGAGGACGAUCAGACACACUGGAACUGAGACACGGUCCAGACUCCUACGGGAGGCAGCAGUGGGGAAUUUUCCGCAAUGGGCGAAAGCCUGACGGAGCAAUACCGCGUGAGGGAAGACUGCCUAUGGGUUGUAAACCUCUUUUUUCAGGGAGGAAUAAAAUGACGUGUACCUGAAGAAUAAGCAUCG